Molecule: ribosomal RNA, 122 nt
Filed under: Amphilophus citrinellus (Midas cichlid)
Lineage: Eukaryota; Metazoa; Chordata; Actinopteri; Cichliformes; Cichlidae
Source: RNAcentral
GCUUACGGCCACACCACCCUGAACACGCCCGAUCUCGUCUGAUCUCGGAAGCUAAGCAGGGUCGGGCCUGGUCAGUACUUGGAUGGGAGACCGCCUGGGAAUACCAGGUGCUGUAAGCUUUU